Dermochelys coriacea (leatherback sea turtle) is the source of this 302-nucleotide long non-coding RNA. RefSeq lists it as uncharacterized. The record is from RefSeq and is a predicted model, not a curated record. Lineage: Eukaryota; Metazoa; Chordata; Testudines; Dermochelyidae. The transcript is spliced from 3 exons.
CUGACAUGCAACUUCCACUAUAUUAAAAAAUAGUGAAUAAACUCUUAGGAAGGUAGCUUCUCAGACUGCAGAUAGAAAACUGGGCAGAACAGAGCUUUAAGCUCUUCUGAUACAGUAAAUCACUGUUUGCAAAACACCUAAUUUUAAGAGGAUAAUUAAAAGAGAAACCUGUAAAGGCAACAUUCCUUCAAGCGAGUUGGUACUGCAACGUGCUGGGCACUGAUCCUGCAAGUGACUCUGUAAGAGAAGACUACUACAACGGAGUCCCAUUGACUUGGAGGAUAUGGGCCUCCAUUUAUGAG